Molecule: long non-coding RNA, 1014 nt
Filed under: Sus scrofa (pig)
Lineage: Eukaryota; Metazoa; Chordata; Mammalia; Artiodactyla; Suidae
Description: lncRNA (ENSSSCG00065031060.1)
Source: RNAcentral
CGACGGGAAGCGGGGUCCCGGGGGUGGCAGGAAAACAGCUUCUGCGCGCGGGGACAGAGCGUCAGCAGAGAAGAGAAAGAUUCCAGGAUCGGAAGUGGUGGCGGGCAGGAUGCGGUCGCCGCAGACCCCGAACCAGGCUCCAGACAAGCCCCGCGUGUGGUCGCUGUACCAGACUUAGGGGGGAGGAAGGGGACUGAAGACACACAGGUUGGAGAGAACACGGGGACAUGAUCACGGGGACCCAGGAAACAGACUAGGGAGGAUAUGAGGACACUGUCACAGGGACCCAGGACCCAAGUUAGAGGACACGGGAACCCUGUCACCGGGACUCAGGACACAGGUUAGAGAGGACACGGGGACAGUGUAACAGGAACUCAGGACACAGGUUAGACAGGACACGGGGAAACCCUCACCGGGACUCAGGACACAGGCUAGAGAGGACACGGGGACUGUGUAACAGGGACUCAGGACACGGGUUAGAGAGGAACGGGGACGCUGUCACAGGGGCUCAGGACACAGGUUAGGGAGGACACGGGGACAGUGUCACAGGGACUCAGGACCCAGGUUAGGGAGGACACGGGGACAGUGUCACAGGGACUCAGGACACAGGUUAGAGAGGACACGGGGAUGCUGUCACCGGGACUCAGGACACAGACGUUAGAGAGGACACGGGGACAGUGUCACAGGGACUCAGGACACAGAGGUUAGAGAGGACACGGGGACGCUGUCACAGGGACUCAGGACACAGGUUAGAGAGGACACGGGGACACUGUCACAGGGACUCGGGACACAGGUCAGAGAGGACACAGGGACAGUGUCACAGGGACUCAGGACACAGAGGUUAGAGAGGACACGGGGACGCUGUCACAGGGACUCAGGACACAGGUUAGAGAGGACACGGGGACGCUGUCACAGGGACUCAGGACACAGAGGUUAGAGAGGACACGGGGACGCUGUCACAGGGACUCAGGACACAGGUUAGAGGAUUCGAGUACAGUGUCAAACAAGACUGAC